Apis florea (little honeybee) is the source of this 5216-nucleotide unclassified non-coding RNA. The record is from RefSeq and is a predicted model, not a curated record. Lineage: Eukaryota; Metazoa; Arthropoda; Insecta; Hymenoptera; Apidae.
UUGAAUUUCUCGAGCUUUUUCGCUGUUGCUCAUCUUUUCGUCGGUUUACGCGCGCGACUCUAUCCAGCUUCCAACAUCGAUACCUGUCGAUCACGACGGAAGAUAAUAACGAGGAAACAACGUACGUACGAAACACUCGACAACGAGACGCGGUGCAAAGCUGGUCGAACGCUAGCUCGAGUUUGCGUGAAUCGACGACGACGACGAACGGAUUGGUGAUCGAUGCGGCAUAAACCCGAGGGGGCCGUACUCGCGAGCGCUGUGAAACGAGGGGUACGGCCCCGAUCGAGCUGACUACAGGAGUCGGCCUGAGGUGUCAGCUCCUCUUCGUCGGGCGUCGCGAAUACCGGACGCCAAGAACCACCGAAUGCCAGUGGAGUCUUUUGGGCGGGCUGGCCGUUUCACUCUUGUCGUCGGACUAGAAGAAGCUUGACCGGCCCGAAAAUGCUGUAUAUAUUCCACGUGGACACCGGCACUACCAUCACCUUCGACAUUAAAUUGGCGCUGCAGACUGUCGCCCAACUGAAGGAAGCGAUCGAGAGAGAAUGCGGCGUGGUCUCGGCGCACCAGGUGCUCCUGAUGAGCGGAGGCGAGAGCCUGGAACCAACCGCGCGUGUGUGCUCCUACUCGGCCGGAACCGACACGAAUCCGAUCUAUUUGUUCAGCAAGGCCGCCAUUGAGAGCCACCUUCCACCCACGCCGAGCAUAGAUUACGGUUCCGAUGUCGAUCUUCAGAAUCAGAUCGACGCGUCGCUCGCGAUGCCGGCCACUUACCAGACCUUGAUCGCCCGCGCCCAAUUGGCCCAGCAGUGCUGCGGACUGGCGCGGGAGCAGACGAGGAUCUGCGAGAGGCUGGUCCACGAUCAGCACCUUCAGCAGCAGGGUUGGGCAGCCGUGGUCGCGAAUCUGGAGGACAUCACUCAGAUGUUCCAGUCACGGGCCGACCUCCUGCAGCAGAGCUUCGCCGUUUACUUGUCGGAGAGGCAGCGGCACAUGGAACUACUCGAGAACUUCAACGGCGACCUGGGCACCCUGGCGAAAAUCCCGAUCCUGCCGGCGCUGAGGGCCCAGGCGGAAGGUUUGCUGAGCCCGGACGAGCAGCCGAGCCAGCCCGAGAAGGACUCGGAGGGGAGGGAGAAGGUUCUGAGCCUGCUUCGAUGGAUCUCGGCGAAGGACAAUCAGAGCAGCCUGGAGCAGGUGGCUGAGCAGUGCUCGAGGGGCCUGGAGCAGUUCGACGAGAGGGUGAUGGAGGCGUUGAAGGCCGAGGUGAACGCGGCCAUAGACAGCGCGAACAAGCAGGACAUGAAGGAGAUCAAGGGCCUGGGCGAGAGGUUGUUCGCAUUGGAGCAGCUGAUGGCCCAGACGAAGAAGCUGGUCCAGGAGCAGGGGGAGCUCGCCCAGGGCUUCCUCCAGAAUCAGAGCCGGGCGAACAACUUGGGCGACGCGAGCGUGCUGCCCGACCUGUGCACGUCGCACAGGCGCCAGCUGCUCGUCAUGCUGCAGAAUCACAACAAGUUGCGGGACAUAAGGCGUAGGUGCACGAAGGCGAAGGAGGAGCUGUCUGUGAACAUCUAUCAUCGGCUCAAGUGGAUCAUGUACGUGGAGAACAAGAUGAUGGAGGUGGACGGCAAGCUGGUCAUGUACCACGAGAGUCUGAAACGUUUGAGGAGGCACCUCGAGGUCCUUCAGCAGAUCCACCUCGCGCCCCAGAUGUACAUGAACGCCGUGGCCGAGGUGGUCAGGAGGAGAACGUUCUCCCAGGCUUUCCUCGUUUGGGCAAGCAACUUGGCCUGCCAAUUGCUCACCGUCCACAGCGAGGAAUUGGCCCGUAGAAGGGAGUUUCAGAGCAAAUUCGACGGCCACUUCCUCAACACCUUGUUCCCCGGCCUCGAGGACACGCCACCCCCAUUCGCCACCCAGGCGCCGUCCGUUUUCGACAACGGGCUGCCAAAGUUGACGGCGGAGGACAUGGAAUCUCUUAGAUCUCAGCUACCCGAUCUGGCGCUCACCAUCUCGUCGCCAGACUUGAACAGCAUCACUCAGUUCUUCCUGUCGAAGAGUCUCACCAGCACAGACGAGAACAACAAGGAGAAGGAUGGCGCUUCCAUGCGCGUGGACGUGGCCACCAAGGAGCAGGAACGAGCCAGAGCUCCGAUGCUGUUCGACAGGGGUGGUUUCGAAUCGGAGACGGACACGGAGGAGUUCGAGAAGAUCGGGCAGGGCGCCACGGACUCUAAACCGGAGUCGUUCGAUGGCGCGAAACAAACGCGUCAGAAGCAAUUGGAGGUUGGUGCCUCGCGAAGCGUCUCCCCCGCUUCCUCGACCUCGACUAACGUAUCCCCGCUUAAUUCGAAAGUCGCGGACCUGACGAACCGGUCAUCCUCCUCGAGCGAGCCUGGAUCCUUCCAUUUCCCCAGUCUGUCCGUGAGCGAGCGUCCGGCUCAGCUGAGCCCGCUAACCGAGUGCGCCGAGAACGGCGAGUCGAGCUGUUUGCUUCACCGUGCCAACCACUGUCUUCCCAAAUAUCACGAGGCGCCGUCGAGCACGAUGCCCGCCGAGGAGGCAAACUCCCUAAGCCCGAAUCCUCCCUCCUCCCUGUCACGGUCCGUGAUGUGCGACGGCCAGCAGCAGCACCAGCAGCAACGUCACCAGUUGUCGGGCAGCGGCGGUAGCAGCCCAUCCGUAGGAGUUGGGCCUACCGACUUCAUGGCUACCGAGUUUUACAUGGACGAGUCUCUGCCGAGCAGCCUCAGCGAGCAUCCCGCCGACGGCCAGCAUCAGGCUAUCGUUUCCCUUCUCCAGGAGAAUCUUGGGAACACGCGGGAGGAGGUGGAGAGGCUUCGUUCCAUGUUGAAAACGAUGAAGGCGGUGGUGUACGAGGCGUUGAGGUCCGUCCGCCAGGAGUUGGCCGUUCUCAGGGAUCGUUCGAACGAGGAGGCGGCCGGUUUCUCGAAGACGACCGACCAGGUCCGCGAGGCCCUCUCGUUGUACACCCGGGAGUGCGAUCGCCGUCUCCGUGAACGGGAGCAAGAGUUGACGGUGGACCACGAGCUCGAGAUGGCGGACGUGAAGAAGAUGAUCCAGAACCGGGAGGAGGAGAUAUGCGGGUUGAAACGGAGCGUGAUGGAGAAGGAGACGGAGCUGGCGGAGCACGAGCGGCUGAUAUCGACCAUGCGCCAGAAGCUGGAGAACGAGCAAACGGAGAUGAGAGAGCUGCAGACGCGGCUCCACCAACAGCUCGAGGAGGCGUUGGAGCAGGCGCGCGCCGAGAAGGAGUCGGCGGUGAAGAGCGCGAACGACGAGAGGUUCUUGGAGAUAGCGUCCCUCACCAAUUCCGUCACGCAAUGCCAGAAACGUAUCCAGGAAUUGGAGGAGAGUUUGGACACGGCGCGCAGCGAUCAGAAGAGGAUGGUGAAGGAGGCGACCGAAAAGCUGCAGAUGGAGUACAAGAGCGAGCUUCAAUCGAUCAGGAGCCGGUUCAAACUGAUGACCGCCUCCACGACCAUGGAGAGCAGCCCGACCGACAGCACCGACAGCAAGAUCGAAAGACCAGAUUUCAUCGAGUUGGCCGGUCACGUGUUGGCCUCGGCGUCGCAAGACAUGAAGCAGGAGAAAGCCAUAAGAACGAUCGAGGACGAGCGUACGACGGAUUGCGUGGCGAAGUUGGUCCACGAUCUUCGACUGGCCACGCAGGUGAUCGAGGAGAAGGACAGAGAGAUGGAGAUGUUCAGGAGAAGAGAGGUGGCGCUGACGGACGAGUGCAAGCGUUACAAGAGCACGAUCAGACGUUUGACCGAGUCGGAGACGUUCAAGAGCGAGGCGAGUUUGCACAAGGAGAGCAGCGACGAGCAGUUGGAAAUGAGUCAGAGCAGUCUGGAGGAGGUGGCCAAGAACUUGGAGACGGAGAAGGACGAGGUGGAGGUGUCGGAGUCGAAGAAGGUGCGGUUGGAGGCGAGCAGCAACGAUCCGACUUGCUGCCUCUCGAGGAGGCUCGAGUUGCUCGAGAACGAGAACAAGAGGUUGAGCGCCGAGUUGCAAUCGCUUCGCGAGAGCAAAGAGUCGGCCGAGGCGAAGAUCGAGGCGUUGGAGGCGGACAAGGUCCGGCUCGAGAUCGAGCUGGUGAAGGAACGGCCGAGGAACUUCGCCGACUCCUCCUCCUCGUCCGAGUGCCGCGAGAAGGACAUGAACGCCUCCGUGGCGGUGGUGUCCGAGUCGAGCGCGCGCAGGGACGCGGCGACCAGCCCGAAACCGCAGCGCCGAUGCGGCUGCACCACGUGCUUGACCCACGUUCAAAAGAAAAUGCAGAAAACGGCCACGAAGCUGACCGAGAUGGGCCACAUCACCGUGACCAGCUGCGAUCCCGGGGACAACGUGCUCAUGUUCUGGGAUCCGACCCACGGCACGUACACGUUGUACCAGGAGUCAACCACGCUCUACUUCCUCAACACGGAUUCCUCGUCCGAGUUGGAUCUCGGCUCGAAUCCCGACGAGUCGACGAAGAACACACAGAGCAUCGUCGAGGUUGUGGAUAAACAGUACUGUCACGCUAGAAAGUCAGAGAAUCGAUAUCGCGUACGACGCGGCACCAAAUUCUAUCGUGUGGUCGUGAAACCUGUGAGCAACAGUGCAGCUAUGUUGGCGAGCGUUCAGCAAGAAUAGAAUAGGAAGAAUGGAUAAAUAUAGUUGGAGAAGGAGGAAGAGAGAGUGAGAGAGAGAGAGAGAGAGAGUGAGAGAGAGAGAGAGAGAGAGGGGUCCGUCGAUUCUCCGCCAAUUCGAUAAACCCUGUGACCGCGGAUCCGCGUCGCGGGAAUGAACACUUGUGGCCUUGCACGUUCAGUUCAUCCGACACGCAACCGACACGGAUCCUUAGCAUACACGAUGUUCGCGAUCAUCCGGAAUUAUUCUCGGAUCAAGGCCAAAACCUGCCAGACCUUAUAUAGACGCAUCCUUCGAAUCAAGCUUGGAAAAGAGAAGAAAAAUUUUCUUCUUUUCGGAGGGAUCGAGAGAAAAAGGGAUACGUGUUCGUAUCACGGAGAUCGAGGAUCAGAGGAGAAAGGAUGCGCUGGCGUUUCAUUGUGAUAUAAAUAAUUUUUAAACGAGCGAAACAUAUUUGCCGAAUGCUGUGGUUAGCUGUGAAGCGUAACGAUGUUUGUAUUUCCGUUUUCGGUUUUCUCUUUUAUUUCUUUCUGUUUCAGACGAGACCGAACGUGAGAAUG